CACCGCGGUUAUACGAGAGGCCCAAGUUGAUAGACAUCGGCGUAAAGGGUGGUUAAUAGAAAUGACACUAAGGCUAAACAUCUUCAAGACUGUUAUACGUACCCGAAGACAGGAAGACCCCUGACGAAAGUGGCCUUAACCUAUUUGAAUCCACUAAAGCUAGGGAA
RNAcentral lists this ribosomal RNA (167 nucleotides) under Valenciennea strigata (blueband goby). RNAcentral's name for it is "partial 12S rRNA". Lineage: Eukaryota; Metazoa; Chordata; Actinopteri; Gobiiformes; Gobiidae. The record is from RNAcentral.